AUUGAACGCUGGCGGCAGGCCUAACACAUGCAAGUCGAGCGGAUGAAGGGAGCUUGCUCCUGGAUUCAGCGGCGGACGGGUGAGUAAUGCCUAGGAAUCUGCCUGGUAGUGGGGGAUAACGUCCGGAAACGGGCGCUAAUACCGCAUACGUCCUGAGGGAGAAAGUGGGGGAUCUUCGGACCUCACGCUAUCAGAUGAGCCUAGGUCGGAUUAGCUAGUUGGUGGGGUAAAGGCCUACCAAGGCGACGAUCCGUAACUGGUCUGAGAGGAUGAUCAGUCACACUGGAACUGAGACACGGUCCAGACUCCGACGGGAGGCAGCAGUGGGGAAUAUUGGGCAAUGGGCGAAAGCCUGAUCCAGCCAUGCCGCGUGUGUGAAGAAGGUCUUCGGAUUGUAAAGCACUUUAAGUUGGGAGGAAGGGCAGUAAGUUAAUACCUUGCUGUUUUGACGUUACCAACAGAAUAAGCACCGGCUAACUUCGUG
This 484-nucleotide ribosomal RNA is filed under the name uncultured bacterium. RNAcentral's name for it is "partial 16S ribosomal RNA". It matches the Rfam family "Bacterial small subunit ribosomal RNA", at positions 30 to 507 of the family's 1533-position model. The record is from RNAcentral.